This 600-nucleotide ribosomal RNA is filed under the name Streptomyces sp. 492(2010). RNAcentral's name for it is "bacterial SSU rRNA". It matches the Rfam family "Bacterial small subunit ribosomal RNA", at positions 35 to 651 of the family's 1533-position model. Lineage: Bacteria; Bacillati; Actinomycetota; Actinomycetes; Kitasatosporales; Streptomycetaceae. The record is from RNAcentral.
GCGGGGCGGGGUGCUUACACAUGCAGUCGAACGAUGAACCGCUUUCGGGCGGGGAUUAGUGGCGAACGGGUGAGUAACACGUGGGCAAUCUGCCCUGCACUCUGGGACAAGCCCUGGAAACGGGGUCUAAUACCGGAUAUGACCGUCUGCCGCAUGGUGGAUGGUGUAAAGCUCCGGCGGUGCAGGAUGAGCCCGCGGCCUAUCAGCUUGUUGGUGAGGUAGUGGCUCACCAAGGCGACGACGGGUAGCCGGCCUGAGAGGGCGACCGGCCACACUGGGACUGAGACACGGCCCAGACUCCUACGGGAGGCAGCAGUGGGGAAUAUUGCACAAUGGGCGAAAGCCUGAUGCAGCGACGCCGCGUGAGGGAUGACGGCCUUCGGGUUGUAAACCUCUUUCAGCAGGGAAGAAGCGAAAGUGACGGUACCUGCAGAAGAAGCGCCGGCUAACUACGUGCCAGCAGCCGCGGUAAUACGUAGGGCGCAAGCGUUGUCCGGAAUUAUUGGGCGUAAAGAGCUCGUAGGCGGCUUGUCACGUCGGUUGUGAAAGCCCGGGGCUUAACCCCGGGUCUGCAUUCUAUACGGGCAGGCUAGAGUUCCG